RNAcentral lists this ribosomal RNA (253 nucleotides) under uncultured bacterium. RNAcentral describes it as "partial 16S ribosomal RNA". It matches the Rfam family "Bacterial small subunit ribosomal RNA", at positions 524 to 776 of the family's 1533-position model. The record is from RNAcentral.
UACGUAGGGGGCAAGCGUUGUCCGGAAUCAUUGGGCGUAAAGGGUGCGUAGGCGGCGCGGUAAGUCGGGUGUGAAAUCUCGGGGCUUAACUCCGAAACUGCAUUCGAUACUGCCGUGCUUGAGGACUGGAGAGGAGACUGGAAUUUACGGUGUAGCGGUGAAAUGCGUAGAUAUCGUAAGGAAGACCAGUGGCGAAGGCGGGUCUCUGGACAGUUCCUGACGCUGAGGCACGAAGGUCAGGGGAGCAAACGGG